RNAcentral lists this ribosomal RNA (374 nucleotides) under uncultured organism. RNAcentral describes it as "partial 16S ribosomal RNA". It matches the Rfam family "Bacterial small subunit ribosomal RNA", at positions 527 to 896 of the family's 1533-position model. The record is from RNAcentral.
GUAGGUGGCAAGCGUUGUCCGGAAUUAUUGGGCGUAAAGCGCGCGCAGGCGGUCCUUUAAGUCUGAUGUGAAAGCCCACGGCUCAACCGUGGAGGGUCAUUGGAAACUGGGGGACUUGAGUACAGAAGAGGAAAGCGGAAUUCCAAGUGUAGCGGUGAAAUGCGUAGAGAUUUGGAGGAACACCAGUGGCGAAGGCGGCUUUCUGGUCUGUAACUGACGCUGAGGCGCGAAAGCGUGGGGUAGCAAACAGGGAUUAGAUACCCUGGUAGUCCACGCCGUAAACGAUGAGUGCUAAGUGUUAGGGGUUUCCCGCCCCCUUAGCGCUGCAGCUAACGCAUUAAGCACUCCGCCUGGGGAGUACGGCCGCAAGGCUG